UUGCUGGAUGCUGACGAGCGGCGGACGGGUGAGUAAUGCAUAGGAAUCUGCCCGAUAGUGGGGGAUAACCUGGGGAAACCCAGGCUAAUACCGCAUACGUCCUACGGGAGAAAGGGGGCUCCGGCUCCCGCUAUGGGAUGAGCCUAUGUCGGAUUAGCUAGUUGGUGAGGUAACGGCUCACCAAGGCCACGAUCCGUAGCUGGUCUGAGAGGAUGAUCAGCCACAUCGGGACUGAGACACGGCCCGAACUCCUACGGGAGGCAGCAGUGGGGAAUAUUGGACAAUGGGGGCAACCCUGAUCCAGCCAUGCCGCGUGUGUGAAGAAGGCCCUCGGGUUGUAAAGCACUUUCAGCGAGGAAGAACGCCUAGCGGUUAAUACCCGCUAGGAAAGACAUCACUCGCAGAAGAAGCACCGGCUAACUCCGUGCCAGCAGCCGCGGUAAUACGGAGGGUGCAAGCGUUAAUCGGAAUUACUGGGCGUAAAGCGCGCGUAGGUGGCUUGAUAAGCCGGUUGUGAAAGCCCCGGGCUCAACCUGGGAACGGCAUCCGGAACUGUCAAGCUAGAGUGCAGGAGAGGAAGGUAGAAUUCCCGGUGUAGCGGUGAAAUGCGUAGAGAUCGGGAGGAAUACCAGUGGCGAAGGCGGCCUUCUGGACUGACACUGACACUGAGGUGCGAAAGCGUGGGUAGCAAACAGGAUUAGAUACCCUGGUAGUCCACGCCGUAAACGAUGUCGACCAGCCGUUGGGUGCCUAGCGCACUUUGUGG
RNAcentral lists this ribosomal RNA (766 nucleotides) under Vreelandella aquamarina. RNAcentral describes it as "bacterial SSU rRNA". It matches the Rfam family "Bacterial small subunit ribosomal RNA", at positions 77 to 846 of the family's 1533-position model. Lineage: Bacteria; Pseudomonadati; Pseudomonadota; Gammaproteobacteria; Oceanospirillales; Halomonadaceae. The record is from RNAcentral.